AACGAACGCUGGCGGCAUGCCUAACACAUGCAAGUCGAACGAGACCUUCGGGUCUAGUGGCGCACGGGUGCGUAACGCGUGGGAACCUGCCCUUAGGUUCGGAAUAACUCCCCGAAAGGGGUGCUAAUACCGGAUAAUGUCUUCGGACCAAAGAUUUAUCGCCUUUGGAUGGGCCCGCGUUGGAUUAGCUAGUUGGUAGGGUAAAAGCCUACCAAGGCGACGAUCCAUAGCUGGUCUGAGAGGAUGAUCAGCCACACUGGGACUGAGACACGGCCCAGACUCCUACGGGAGGCAGCAGUGGGGAAUCUUGGAAAAUGGGCGAAAGGCUGAACCAGCAAUGCCGCGUGAGUGAUGAAGGCCUUAGGGUUGUAAAGCUCGUUUACCCGGGAUGAUAAUGACAGUACCGGGAGAAUAAGCUCCGGCUAACUCCGUG
This 433-nucleotide ribosomal RNA is filed under the name uncultured bacterium. RNAcentral describes it as "partial 16S ribosomal RNA". It matches the Rfam family "Bacterial small subunit ribosomal RNA", at positions 29 to 507 of the family's 1533-position model. The record is from RNAcentral.